GACGAACGCUGGCGGCGUGCUUAACACAUGCAAGUCGAACGCUGAAGCUUGGUGCUUGCACUGGGUGGAUGAGUGGCGAACGGGUGAGUAAUACGUGAGUAACCUGCCCUUGACUCUGGGAUAAGCCUGGGAAACUGGGUCUAAUACUGGAUAUGACAUGCCGCUGCAUGGUGGUGUGUGGAAAGGGUUUUACUGGUUUUGGAUGGGCUCACGGCCUAUCAGCUUGUUGGUGGGGUAAUGGCCUACCAAGGCGACGACGGGUAGCCGGCCUGAGAGGGUGACCGGCCACACUGGGACUGAGACACGGCCCAGACUCCUACGGGAGGCAGCAGUGGGGAAUAUUGCACAAUGGGCGGAAGCCUGAUGCAGCGACGCCGCGUGAGGGAUGACGGCCUUCGGGUUGUAAACCUCUUUCAGCACGGAAGAAGCGAGAGUGACGGUACGUGCAGAAGAAGCGCCGGCUAACUACGUG
This 472-nucleotide ribosomal RNA is filed under the name uncultured bacterium. RNAcentral describes it as "partial 16S ribosomal RNA". It matches the Rfam family "Bacterial small subunit ribosomal RNA", at positions 28 to 507 of the family's 1533-position model. The record is from RNAcentral.